RNAcentral lists this ribosomal RNA (485 nucleotides) under uncultured bacterium. RNAcentral's name for it is "bacterial SSU rRNA". It matches the Rfam family "Bacterial small subunit ribosomal RNA", at positions 30 to 507 of the family's 1533-position model. The record is from RNAcentral.
AUUGAACGCUGGCGGCAUGCCUUACACAUGCAAGUCGAACGGCAGCACGGGUGCUUGCACCUGGUGGCGAGUGGCGAACGGGUGAGUAAAGCAUCGGAACGUACCGUGUAGUGGGGAUAACGUAGCGAAAGUUACGCUAAUACCGCAUACGCACUGAGGUGGAAAGCAGGGGAUCGCAAGACCUUGCGCUAUACGAGCGGCCGAUGUCAGAUUAGCUAGUUGGUAGGGUAAAGGCCUACCAAGGCGACGAUCUGUAGCGGGUCUGAGAGGAUGAUCCGCCACACUGGGACUGAGACACGGCCCAGACUCCUACGGGAGGCAGCAGUGGGGAAUUUUGGACAAUGGGCGAAAGCCUGAUCCAGCCAUGCCGCGUGAGUGAAGAAGGCCUUCGGGUUGUAAAGCUCUUUCGGCUGGGAAGAAAUCGCACAGGCUAAUACUCUGUGUGGAUGACGGUACCAGCACAAGAAGCACCGGCUAACUACGUG